RNAcentral lists this ribosomal RNA (484 nucleotides) under uncultured bacterium. RNAcentral's name for it is "partial 16S ribosomal RNA". It matches the Rfam family "Bacterial small subunit ribosomal RNA", at positions 899 to 1397 of the family's 1533-position model. The record is from RNAcentral.
ACUCAAAGGAAUUGACGGGGACCCGCACAAGCGGUGGAGCGUGUUGUUUAAUUCGAUGGUAAGCGAAGAACCUUACCAAGGUUUGACAUCUCUGGAAUCUCUCCGAAAGGAGAAAGUGCCUUCGGGAACCAGAUGACAGGUGUUGCAUGGCCGUCUUCAGCUCGUGUCGUGAGAUGUUUGGUUAAGUCCAUCAACGAGCGCAACCCUUAUAGUUAGUUGAAUUUUUCUAGCUAGACUGCCCCGGUAACGGGGAGGAAGGAGGGGAUGAUGUCAGGUCAGUAUUACCCUUACACCUUGGGCUACAAACACGCUACAAUGGCCGGUACAAAGGGCAGCCAAGUCGCAAGACGGAGCAAAUCCCAUCAAAGCCGGUCUCAGUUCGGAUUGCAGGCUGAAACUCGCCUGCAUGAAGCUGGAAUCGCUAGUAACGGUGAGUCAGCACAUUACCGUGAAUACGUUCCCGGGUCUUGUACACACCGCCCGU